GAUGAACGCUAGCGAUAGGCCUAACACAUGCAAGUCGAGGGGCAUCACAUGAAGUAGCAAUACGGAUGGUGGCGACCGGCGCACGGGUGAGUAACACGUAUGCAACCUGCCUUCAACAAGGGGAUAACCCGUUGAAAGACGGACUAAUACCCUAUAACACAGGGGUCCCGCAUGGGAAUAUUUGUUAAAGGACAACCGGUUGAAGAUGGGCAUGCGUUCCAUUAGCUAGUUGGCGGGGUAAGGGCCCACCAAGGCAACGAUGGAUAGGGGAACUGAGAGGUUUAUCCCCCACACUGGUACUGAGACACGGACCAGACUCCUACGGGAGGCAGCAGUGAGGAAUAUUGGUCAAUGGACGCAAGUCUGAACCAGCCACGUCGCGUGAAGGAAGACGGCCCUACGGGUUGUAAACUUCUUUUGCAAGGGAAUAAAGUGGGCCACGUGUGGCCUUUUGCAAGUACCUUGCGAAUAAGGAUCGGCUAACUCCGUGCCAGCAGCCGCGGUAAGU
RNAcentral lists this ribosomal RNA (508 nucleotides) under uncultured bacterium. RNAcentral describes it as "bacterial SSU rRNA". It matches the Rfam family "Bacterial small subunit ribosomal RNA", at positions 28 to 525 of the family's 1533-position model. The record is from RNAcentral.